GUGGGAUUGUAGCUCAGUGGUAGAGAACUUGACUUGCAUGUGUGAGGUACUGGGUUCGAUCCUCAGCACCACA
RNAcentral lists this transfer RNA (73 nucleotides) under Marmota monax (woodchuck). Its description in RNAcentral is "tRNA.Ala". Lineage: Eukaryota; Metazoa; Chordata; Mammalia; Rodentia; Sciuridae. The record is from RNAcentral.